GAGGAAAAGAAACCAACAGGGAUUGCCUCAGUAACGGCGAGUGAAGCGGCAAAAGCUCAGAUUUGAAAUCUGGCGUCAUUUUGGCGUCCGAGUUGUAAUCUGUAGAGGAGUAUUCGAGUGUGGAUUUGGCUUAAGUUCCUUGGAACAGGACGUCAUAGAGGGUGAGAACCCCGUUAACGGCCUAUGUCUUAUGCUCAUGUGAAUCUCCUUCAACGAGUCGAGUUGUUUGGGAAUGCAGCUCUAAAUGGGUGGUAAAUUCCAUCUAAAGCUAAAUACUGGCAAGAGACCGAUAGCGCACAAGUAGAGUGAUCGAAAGAUGAAAAGAACUCUGAACAGAGAGUUAAAUAGUACGUGAAAUUGUUGAAAGGGAAGCACUUGCUACCAGACACGCCUGUAGUUGAUCAACCUCCAUUUUUGGUGGUGCACUCGGCUAUAGGUGGGUCAGCAUCAGUUACAACGGUGGGAUAAAGACUUUGGGAAUGUAGCUUCUUUCGGGAAGUGUUAUAGCCCUUGGUGUAAUACCAUCUGAUGUGACUGAGGCCCGCGCUUCGGCGAGGAUGCUGGCAUAAUGGUCGUAAGUGACCCGUCUUGAAACACGGACCAAGGAGUCUAACAUCUAUGCGAGUGUUUGGGCGUCAAAACCCUUACGCGGAAUGAAAGUGAAUGAAGGUGGGAACCGCAAGGUGCACCAUCGACCGAUCCUGAUGUUUUCGGAUGGAUUUGAGUAGGAGCAUAGCUGUUGGGACCCGAAAGAUGGUGAACUAUGCCUGAAUAGGGUGAAGCCAGAGGAAACUCUGGUGGAGGCUCGCAGCGGUUCUGACGUGCAAAUCGAUCGUCAAAUUUGGGUAUAGGGGCGAAAGACUAAUCGAAC
RNAcentral lists this ribosomal RNA (871 nucleotides) under Geoscypha cf. tenacella. RNAcentral describes it as "partial large subunit ribosomal RNA". It matches the Rfam family "Eukaryotic large subunit ribosomal RNA", at positions 53 to 940 of the family's 3401-position model. The record is from RNAcentral. Lineage: Eukaryota; Fungi; Ascomycota; Pezizomycetes; Pezizales; Pezizaceae.